Molecule: non-coding RNA, 73 nt
Organism: Sphingopyxis sp. LC81
Lineage: Bacteria; Pseudomonadati; Pseudomonadota; Alphaproteobacteria; Sphingomonadales; Sphingopyxidaceae
Source: Rfam
GCCCGGGUAGCUCAGUUGGUAGAGCAUGCGAUUGAAAAUCGCAGUGUCGGCGGUUCGACCCCGUCCCCGGGCA